GCCGAGAUUGCAGCCUCCGCCCGGCCGCCACCCCGUCUGGGAGGUGAGGAGCGUCUCUGCCUGGCCGCCCAGAUGUUAGGAGCCCCUCUGCCUGGCUGCCCAGUCUGGAAAGUGAGGAGCGUCUCUGCCCGGCCACCAUCCCAUCUAGGAAGUGAGGAGCGCCUCUUCCCGGCCGCCAUCCCAUCUAGGAAGUGGGGAGCGUCUCUGCCCGGCCGGCCAUCGUCUGAGAUGUGGGGAGUGCCUUUGCCCCGCCGCCCCGUCUGGGAUGUGAGGAGCGCCUCUGCCCGGUCGCGACCCCGUCUGGGAGGUGAGGAGUGUCUCUGCCCAGCCGCCCCAUCUGAGAAGGGAGGAGACCCUCCGCCUGGCAACCGCCCCGUCUGAGAAGUGAGGAGACCCUCCGCCUGGCAGCCGCCCCGUCUGGGAAGUGAGGAGCCCCUCCGCCCGGCAGCCACCCCAUCUGGGAAGUGAGGAGCGUCUCCACCCGGCAGCCACCCCGUCCGGGAGGGAGGUGGGGGGGUCAGCCCCCCGCCCGGCCAGCCGCCCCGUCCGGGAGGGAGGUGGGGGGGUCAGCCCCCCGCCCGGCCAGCCGCCUCGUCCGGGAGGUGAGGGGCGCCUGUGCCCGGCCGCCCCUACUGGGAAGUGAGGAGCCCCUCUGCCUGGCCAGCCACCCCAUCCGGGAGGGAGGUGGGGGGGUCAGCCCCCCGCCCGGCCAGCCACCCCAUCCGGGAGGGAGGUGGGGGGGUCAGCCCCCCGCCUGGCCAGCCGCCCCGUCCGGGAGGGAGGUGGGGGGGUCAGCCCCCCGCCCGGCCAGCCGCCCCACCCGGGAGGUGAGGGGUGCCUCUGCCCGGCCGCCCCUACUGGGAAGUGAGGAGCCCCUCUGCCCGGCCACCACCCCAUCUGGGAGGUGUGCCCAACAGCUCAUUGAGAACGGGCCAUGAUGACAAUGGUGGUUUUGUGGAAUAGAAAGUGGGGAAAGGUGGGGAAAAGAUUGAGAAAUCGGAUGGUUGCCGUGUCUGUGUGGAAAGAAGUAGACAUGGGAGACUUUUCAUUUUGUUCUGUACUAAGAAAAAUUCUUCUGCCUGGGGAUCCUGUUGAUCUGUGACCUUACCCCGCAACCCUGUGCUCUCUGAAACAUGUGCUGUGCCCACUCAGGGUUAAAUGGAUUAAGGGCAGUGCAAGAUGUGCUUUGUUAAACAGAUGCUUGAAGGCAGCAUGCUCGUUAAGAGUCAUCACCACUCCCUAAUCUCAAGUACCCAGGGACACAAACACUGCGGAAGGCCUCAGGGUCCUCUGCCUAGGAAAACCAGAGACCUUUGUUCACUUGUUUAUCUGCUGACCUUCCCUCCACUAUUGUCCUAUGAC
RNAcentral lists this long non-coding RNA (1362 nucleotides) under Homo sapiens (human). RNAcentral's name for it is "HSALNT0306162". Lineage: Eukaryota; Metazoa; Chordata; Mammalia; Primates; Hominidae. The record is from RNAcentral.